Molecule: long non-coding RNA, 668 nt
Organism: Anopheles arabiensis
Lineage: Eukaryota; Metazoa; Arthropoda; Insecta; Diptera; Culicidae
Exons: 2
Source: RefSeq, a predicted model, not a curated record
AGUCAGUCCUACGUAUGGCGGCGCGGUCUAUUUGGGGAUUGAACCCAUUACGGGCAUGUUGUUAAGUCGUACGAGUUGACGACUGUACUACGAGGCCGGCUCGUUGAUCGUUUAAACCAACGUUUAUCGUCUAAAAAAUUACAGGUGCACGCGCAUAUUAACCGGUGCUACUUGCUGACCUUGCCAACAUCCCGCCAAAUGAUAGACGGAGGGCAAACGGUGUCAAGUUUUAAAAUAUUAAGCUCUUUCGUAGAAGAGCGCACUUCGAGAACGUCAAGGAUACGGGGAUAGGAGUGUUAGUGUGCCAAAACGCAUUUGGAAAGAGGAAGUCCAAUAAAUAGCAUGCGAAAGUGUGCAUAAAUCAAAAAUAAAAAGCAUCACUAUGGGAGGGAUGAAUACAUUUGUAUGCGUGGGCAGGACAAGCAAUGCAAUGCACUUGAAUGUGUGCGUGUAGGUCGGUUAAAUGCAUAUCUUGUCAUUCUCCGCUGAACAUUAUUUUUCCACCUCGAACAAAGCGGGGAAUCACAAGGAAAUGCAUUUAAUUCAUUAUUGUAACAUGUUUUAUAAACUGCACAGGUAGGGAAUUUAAUUUCCAUUGUUCUGAUGUACCAUAAGCCAUGUUCUGAUUAAUAUUUAAUUAAAUAUAGCAGAAAAACUUUCACUUUCAA